This 253-nucleotide ribosomal RNA is filed under the name uncultured bacterium. RNAcentral's name for it is "partial 16S ribosomal RNA". It matches the Rfam family "Bacterial small subunit ribosomal RNA", at positions 524 to 776 of the family's 1533-position model. The record is from RNAcentral.
UACGAAGGGGGCUAGCGUUGUUCGGAAUCACUGGGCGUAAAGGGCGCGUAGGCGGCUUUAUAAGUUGGGGGUGAAAGCCUGUGGCUCAACCACAGAAUUGCCUUCGAUACUGUAGAGCUUGAGACCGGAAGAGGUAAGUGGAACUGCGAGUGUAGAGGUGAAAUUCGUAGAUAUUCGCAAGAACACCAGUGGCGAAGGCGGCUCACUGGCCCGGUACUGACGCUGAGGCACGAAAGCGUGGGGAGCAAACAGG